Molecule: transfer RNA, 76 nt
Filed under: Mollicutes bacterium
Lineage: Bacteria; Bacillati; Mycoplasmatota; Mollicutes
Description: tRNA-Thr
Rfam family: tRNA
About the family: Transfer RNA (tRNA) molecules are approximately 80 nucleotides in length.
Source: RNAcentral
GCCGGAAUAGCUCAACUGGUAGAGCAACUGACUUGUAAUCAGUAGGUUACGGGUUCGAUUCCUGUUUCCGGCACCA